This is a long non-coding RNA of Brassica rapa (field mustard), 4093 nucleotides long. RefSeq lists it as uncharacterized. Lineage: Eukaryota; Viridiplantae; Streptophyta; Magnoliopsida; Brassicales; Brassicaceae. The record is from RefSeq and is a predicted model, not a curated record.
AAAACGUUUCACAAAGUUUUUUUUAUUAAAAACGUUUUACAAAGUUUUAUUUUAAUUAAAAACGUUUUACAAAGUUUAAUUUUAAAUUUUUACAUACGUAAAAUUUAAAAAGUUUAUCUUUUUAUUAAAAAGGGAGAAAACGUUUAAAAAUAAUAAAAAAAAUUAAUAAAAAGAAAAAGUGCAUAUACGUUUUAGAAAAGUUAGAAUAUUACAAAUAUUUUUAGAAUAUAUUUUCUUAACUGAAACUUCCAUAAUUUUUGCCAAAAUCAGGUUUUCUUAUCCGUAGAAGGCAUUUUCUACACUACGUAAAACCAAGACAAAAAUUCCAUAAGCAGAUUCUACCUCAUGUAGACGUACGUAUGAGUAUUGUCUAGAUUUCGUAUUCUGAGAAUCUUAGAAUACUUCAUAAAAGUUGAAACUGCAUUAUGAGAAAAAAAACUAACUUUACAAUUAGUAGAAUUCACAUUCCAUAUAAUUAGAAGUUUAAUUAAAAGUAGAUUGUUCGUAUUAAAAAAUAUAUGAAUUUGUUUAAUCUUGAAUUCAAUUUUCUACUAACUCAUUUUCUAUAAAAGAUGAAAUCUACUUUUAGUAGAACGUAAAUUAAAAUUUUAAUUUAUCAAAUUUUGCAACAAAAAGAAAAAUAUCAGUUUAUGAAUAUGGAUGUUUUAACAAUUGUCUCUAUUUUUUAUAAUAUUUUGACAAUAAUCUGAAGAAAUAAAUCGAAAUGAUUCUUUUGACUUAAAAAUACAUUUUACGUAUAUUUGCUUUCUUAUAUAUGUUAUAACAAUCUGAAGUAAAGCAAAAAUAUAAAACAUAAAAGAGGUUAAGAAGAUAUCAUAAAAAUGGCUAUCACCAAGAAAAUGCUACUUGCAUUUGUUUUACAAUUUCUUAAACUUUGAUGUAAUUUUUAACAUGAAAAAAUAUAUUUUUAUGAAAAGACACUUCUUUAUAUUUUUGUAACAAUACACCUCGUUAUACAUUUUAACACAAUUAAAAACAAAUGAAAUGGUUAAGUUGAAAACACACAACCUUUCAUCAUUUUAUUAUUAGCUCCAUUAAUGAAAAUUUUAUUUUGGAAAAUGCAUGUCAAAGAUUAGUUAUAGAUUUUAAAAAUCUUUUUGAAUAGUCACAAUUCUUCAAUUUGAAUAGUCACAUUUUUCUAAUUUAAUAAUAUUUAUUUUAAAAAGAUACUUAUAAAAAUAAUUACAACUUUUCACUUUUUAAAAGAUGUUUAUAUAAAUUUUUAGAAAAAAUACAACCUUCCAACAUUGAACUUUUAGAAAAGACACAACUUUUUGACAUAUUUUAGAAAAUACACAACCUUUCAACAGAAGUGAGAUUCACAACUUUUGGAAUUAAUUGGGAUUGCUAUUAUUAGUAGUAACAAUACACCUCUUUAUACAUUUUAACACAAUUAAAAACAAAUGAAAUGGUUAAGUUGAAAACACACAACCUUUCAUCAUUUUAUUAUUAGCUCGAUUAAUGAAAAUUUUAUUUUGGAAAAUGCAUGUCAAAGACUAUUUAUAGAUUUUAAAAAUCUUUUUGAAUAUUCACAACUCUUCAAUUUGAAUAGUCACAUUUUUCCAAUUUAAAGGUAAUUAUUUUGGAAAGAUACUCAUAAGAAUAAUCACAACUUUUCACUUUUUAAAAGAUACUUAUAUAAAUUUUUAGAAAAAACACAACCUUCCAACAUUGAACUUUUAGAAAAGACACAACCUUUUGACAUAUUUUAUAAAAGACACAACCUUUCAACAUAAGUGAGAUUCACAACCUUUGGAAUUAAUUGAGAUUGCUAUUAUUAGUAGUAACAAUACACCUCUUUAUACAUUUUAACACAAUUAAAAACAAAUGAAAUGGUUAAGUUGAAAACACACAACCUUUCAUCAUUUUAUUAUUAGCUCGAUUAAUGAAAAUUUUAUUUUGGAAAAUGCAUGUCAAAGACUAUUUAUAGAUUUUAAAAAUCUUUUUGAAUAGUCACAACUCUUCAAUUUGAAUAGUCACAUUUUUCCAAUUUAAAAGUAAUUAUUUUGAAAAGAUACUUAUAAGAAUAAUCACAACUUUUCAUUUUUUAAAAGAUACUUAUAUAAAUUUUUAGAAAAACACAACCUUCCAACAUUGAACUUUUAGAAAAGACAAAACUUUUUGACAUAUUUUAAAAAAGACGCAACAUUUCAACAUAAGUGAGAUUCACAACCUUUGGAAUUAAUUGGGAUUGCUAUUAUUAGUAGAUUAUAGAAAUUUAUUUUAAAAUUAAGUAUGUCUUUUAUGUUUACCAACUAUUUUUUUCAUGAAAUAUUAAAAUAUUACCCUACCAAUAUUGAAACAUAAUUAGGAAAUGUAAUAUUUUCUUUUGACUAUAAUCUAAAGAAAUAAAUCGAAAUGAUUCUUUUGACUUAAAAAUACCUUUUAAGUAUAUUUGUUUUGUUAUAUAUAUAUAUAUAACAAUCCGAAGUAAAACAAAAAUAUAAAACAUAUAAGAGGUUAAGAAGAUAUCAUAAAAAUGGCUAUCACCAAGAAAAUGCUACUUGCAUUUGUUGUCAGUAUCUUCCUCAUCGUAUCUUCUGUGCACUGCUCUGAUCGCAUUCUUGGUGCUGGAAUCAAUAAAGAGUUAAAACAAUGCUUCCCAAAGCAGCCUUGUGGGAAGACUUGCGAAGAGUACUGUGUAGGACACAUUAACGAUGAAUGGGGUAUAAGGACAUCUUGUGAAUCUGGCGCAUGUUGUUGUAUAAAAGAUGGUGCUGUAUAACCACGAGAUAUUGUAAUUUCAUCAAAUAUAUGUAUCUCCUAGAAUAAUAAUAUCAUUACUUUUCAUAUGGUUUGGAUGUAAUAAAUGGUUUGUGUAUUGUGCUCUCGAUCUUCCUAGCUAAAGAAAAUCAUUAUCUUUUUUCUUUUGAUUGUAAUCUGUUGAGAACAUUGAGUCAAAGCAUAAGAAUGUGAAGGAAUCUUUUAUUCAAUGUUGUAAGGCGGAUUGCCAGGUACAAUUGUAGAAAGAAAAGUUUAAGAUACAAACUCAACGCGCAAAAUAACCUGUAUAAGGUGAUUACAAUUGAGGGAAACGAUACUUGCCGAAGAAGAAUGCUCACAUCACAUGCUCACAUUAAGUAUCAGGAUUUCGUAUUUUAAAAUUAUGCUCUGUUUGGAUAUUGUAAGUUUAUGGGCAUAGUUCGAGUCGAGUCCUCAGUUAUGAUGUAUAGGAAUAUAAAGCUAUCCAAAAACAUAAGUGUUUAGAAAUGUCAUUAAACAAUUUAUUAAAAACAAGAAAAAGUAGAACACAACAGAUAAGCGGAUCAAGUUCUAGUUAGAUUUUAAAACUUUAGAGAGGAUUCAUGUCUCUAAGGGGAGAUUUGAACAAACAUUCAAAUCACGGAUUCGAUAAAUCAAAAUUUUUUUGCUUCCUUUGAUAUAUUUGACUAUAAAACUAUACUUUGUUUUUAUUCAUAUUAUAGAAAUUUAUUUUAAAAUUAAGUAUGUCUUUUAUGUUUACCAACUAUUUUUUCAUGAAAUAUUAAAAUAUUACCCAACCAAUAUUGAAACAUAAUUAGGAAAUUAAAUAUUUUCUUUUGACUAUAAUCUGAAGAAAUAAAUCGAAAUGAUUCUUUUGACUUAAAAAUACCUUUUACGUAUAUUUGUUUUGUUAUAUAUAUAUAACAAUCCGAAGUAAAACAAAAAUAUAAAACAUAUAAGAGGUUAAGAAGAUAUCAUAAAAAUGGCUAUCACCAAGAACAUGCUACUUGCAUUUGUUGUCAGUAUCUUCCUCAUCGUAUCUUCUGUGCACUGCUCUGAUCGCAUUCUUGGUGCUGGAAUCAAUAAAGAGUUAAAACAAUGCUUCCCAAAGCAGCCUUGUGGGAAGACUUGCGAAGAGUACUGUGUAGGACACAUUAACGAUGAAUGGGGUAUAAGGACAUCUUGUGAAUCUGGCGCAUGUUGUUGUAUAAAAGAUGGUGCUGUAUAACCACGAGAUAUUGUAAUUUCAUCAAAUAUAUGUAUCUCCUAGAAUAAUAAUAUCAUUACUUUUCAUAUGGUUUGGAUGUAAUAAAUGGUUUGUGUAUUGUGCUCUCGAUCUUCUUAGCUAAAGAAAAUCAUUAUCUUUUUU